AGGUGCAGGGAAACUGUUUCACUGUCCAUUGUUUCUGCUAUUCAUAUUGUUUGUUUGAAAAGAAGGACAUCUUAAUAAAAUGGAUUGGAAAACGUGGUUUAUAUUGGCUAGCACCUGUGUGUGCCUUGUGCACACACAUUCAAAAAAUGGUACAGCACCUCCAGCUACAACGAUACCAGGUUCUACAAGAUCUUCAA
Molecule: non-coding RNA, 197 nt
Organism: Lepisosteus oculatus (spotted gar)
Lineage: Eukaryota; Metazoa; Chordata; Actinopteri; Semionotiformes; Lepisosteidae
Source: RefSeq, a predicted model, not a curated record